CACACAGAGAAUUGCAUCUCAACAAAACUGACAUUAGUACCCGAACUACAUUUCAGUCACUCAGUAACGCGAUAAUUCGAAAUAUUAUCGUCAACAGCCACUGCGUCUUUAGACUGUCUUCGUCAGACGAGAGACGCAGUUCCAACCCCGAUUACUGGUUUCUGUACGUAUCUAUCCACUUCAAGGCUCUUGGGAGAGAAUCGUGAAUAUUCAAGACAGCUCUUAGAGGAUUUGCAGUUUAAAAGUGCCAUAAUUAUGAAAUAAGUGUGCAUAAUGAGUGAUUGA
Long non-coding RNA from Schistocerca nitens (vagrant locust), 285 nucleotides. RefSeq lists it as uncharacterized. The record is from RefSeq and is a predicted model, not a curated record. The transcript is spliced from 3 exons. NCBI's taxonomy places the organism in Eukaryota, Metazoa, Arthropoda, Insecta, Orthoptera, Acrididae.